Cercocebus atys (sooty mangabey) is the source of this 572-nucleotide long non-coding RNA. RefSeq lists it as uncharacterized. Lineage: Eukaryota; Metazoa; Chordata; Mammalia; Primates; Cercopithecidae. The transcript is spliced from 3 exons. The record is from RefSeq and is a predicted model, not a curated record.
GCAGAAUGGUGUGGAAUUUAAAAGAUGAAGAACUGUAAAAGUUUAAUUUAAUUAUGUAUGAUCUCUCAAAGACAGAUCCACUGCAAUCACGAAGAAGAAUCACCCUUUUCUACACAGGGCCAUUUUUCCACGAUGCUACAUUGGCCAUCACAGAGCACAGUAAAUUCAUGAUGAGAUAAUGCUGGAAAACAAAUGACAGUAAAAUCUUUGAAAUGUCCAUCUGUGUCUGUGGGGGAACGAGCAGCAAACUUAUGGAAAAGGAAGCGAGCUAAGGAGAUAAGACUUCGACUUGAGAGGCUUUGUGAUGAUACAAAGAUUCCUGGAAGGAGUAACGGAUGACAUCACUAGAAACCAAGAAGAUGGUAAGGCCUGGAGGUGGCAGAGCUGAAGAGUUCAGAGAAGGAAGCCUGAUGAAGAAAUACAAUUCUAAUGCACAUAUGAAGGGGAUGGACAGUGUUGGAACAAGAUGGUCUUGGAUUCAGAAAUAAAAGGAGUCAGAAGCUGAAGACCUAAGGGUAACACAAGACGUCCAGGUCCUGAAAGCAGUGCAACUUGGAAUUUUUGGAAAGUGA